RNA transcript from Pistacia vera, 1351 nucleotides. It is a transcript of the gene named MADS-box transcription factor 23-like, with no coding region annotated. The transcript has 10 exons. The record is from RefSeq and is a predicted model, not a curated record. NCBI's taxonomy places the organism in Eukaryota, Viridiplantae, Streptophyta, Magnoliopsida, Sapindales, Anacardiaceae.
UCCAUGUUUCCUUAAAUAAGAGGUUGUACUCCCUAAAAUCACUUCCAGCUUUCCAUAAUAGACAUCUCUACAAAAGAAUUUAUAGCUUUUUUCUCUCUUCUCCCUUUCUCCUCCUCAUUAUAGAUCAAAACAACUCAAAUCUGCUGAUCUAGGAGAAACUAAGAGCGGAGGAACCCUAGGACGGUUGAAGAAGAUAGAAGAUGGGAAGGGGAAAGAUUGUGAUCCGGAGGAUUGACAAUUCGACCAGUAGGCAAGUGACUUUCUCGAAAAGAAGAAACGGGUUGCUGAAGAAAGCGAGAGAGCUAUCGAUUCUUUGUGAUGCAGAAGUGGGGCUAAUUAUCUUCUCCAGCACCAGCAAGCUCUAUGAAUAUUCAAGCACUAGCAUGACAUCUGUUAUUGAACGCUACAGCAAACUAAAACAGGAACAAAAUCAGCUGCUCAACCCUGCUUCAGAAGUCAAGUUUUGGCAAAGGGAGGCUGCCAACUUGAGGCAACAGCUACAAGGCUUACAAGAAUGCCACAGACAACUGAUGGGAGAAGAACUUUCUGGUUUAAGUGUCAAAGAGUUGCAGAAUCUGGAAAACCAACUAGAAAUGAGUUUGAAGGGUGUCCGGGUGAAAAAGGAACAAAUUUUAACUGAUGAGAUCAAAGAACUCAACCACAAGGGAAGUCUCAUUCAUCAAGAGAAUUUAGAACUCUAUAAGAAGGUAAACAUCCUCCACCAAGAAAAUAAAGAACUGCAAAAGAAGGUUUAUGGAUCAAGAAAUGUAAAUGCAGCAAACAGGAUUUCCCAGCCUCCAUACACUAUCAGCAAUGGGUACGAAUCACACCCACCUCUCCGUCUCCAGUUAAGCCAGCCCCAGCCUCAAAAAAAUGAGACACCACCAAAAUCAAUGCAACUGGGACUGCAGCUGCAUUAACAAAAAUUUGACAACUGUGGAAGCACAUCACUCCUUACUCUAUCAAUAACUUGCCCCACAGUUCAAAAGUCAAGCUUGAUCAUUCUCAGGGAUGCAUCAAAAAACUACAUUGUUUAUGUGAGCUCUUGCAGACAGGAGAUCUCUGGUAGGUGGAAAAACCAAAGAUCAGAACCUCAAGGUUUGGAAUCCUUUCACUUUCUAUGUGUGCAACAUAGCAUAUAAGUGCUUUGCUGGGUUUGUCCAAGAUAUCUUAUAAUAACUGUUGACAAUAUUACGUUAAUUUAGGGUUUUUUCCUUUAUUGUAUAUUUGUUUUAAUUAGGGCUAUAAUUAAGGCUGUAAAAUAGGCUUUUAUUUUUCUGAAUAUUAUAUUUUUCCUAGUUUAGAAUAUUCCUAUUUUAAAACUCUUGUAUACCAGGCUUCCUUGUAACUU